Molecule: ribosomal RNA, 463 nt
Filed under: uncultured Rhodoferax sp.
Lineage: Bacteria; Pseudomonadati; Pseudomonadota; Betaproteobacteria; Burkholderiales; Comamonadaceae
Description: bacterial SSU rRNA
Rfam family: Bacterial small subunit ribosomal RNA
Source: RNAcentral
GCACAAGCAGCGGAGCGUGUGGUUUAAUUCGAUGCAACACGAAAACCUCACCAGGGUUUGACAUGUCGGAAGUAGCGAAUCGAAAGAUGAACAAACUGUUAAGUCAGUAGCCGUAACACAGGUGCUGCAUGGCUGUCGUCAGCUCGUGUCGUGAGAUGUUGGGUUAAGUCCCGCAACGAGCGCAACCCUUGUCAUUAGUUGCUACAUUUGGGUUGGGCACUCUAAUGAGACUGCCGGUGACAAGCCGGAGGAGGUGGGGAUGACGUCAAGUCCUCAUGGCCCUUAUAGGUGGGGCUACACACGUCAUACAAUGGCUGGUACAAAGGGUUGCCAACCCGCGAGGGGGAGCUAAUCCCACAAAGCCAGUCGUAGUCCGGAUCGUAGUCUGCAACUCGACUACGUGAAGUCGGAAUCGCUAGUAAUCGUGGAUCAGAAUGUCACGGUGAAUACGUUCCCGGGUCUU